AAAAAUACCUGGCAGGGGAGAUACCAUGAUCAUGAAGGUGGUUUCCCCAGGGCGAGGCUCACCCAUUGCACUCCGGGUGUGCUGACCCCUGCGCUCUCCCCUGAAAAAUAAAAAAAAGAAUUUGUUAACUGGGACCAGAGCAGUAACACAGUGGGUAGGGUGUUUGCCUUGC
Suncus etruscus (white-toothed pygmy shrew) is the source of this 172-nucleotide small nuclear RNA. RefSeq annotates it as U1 spliceosomal RNA. The transcript has a single exon. The record is from RefSeq and is a predicted model, not a curated record. NCBI's taxonomy places the organism in Eukaryota, Metazoa, Chordata, Mammalia, Eulipotyphla, Soricidae.